RNAcentral lists this non-coding RNA (29 nucleotides) under Rattus norvegicus (Norway rat). The record is from RNAcentral. Lineage: Eukaryota; Metazoa; Chordata; Mammalia; Rodentia; Muridae.
UAUUACUUAAUAAGGAUGGUUGCCACUCA